This 82-nucleotide transfer RNA is filed under the name Gemmatimonadaceae bacterium. Its description in RNAcentral is "tRNA-Leu". It matches the Rfam family "tRNA". Rfam says of the family: Transfer RNA (tRNA) molecules are approximately 80 nucleotides in length. Lineage: Bacteria; Pseudomonadati; Gemmatimonadota; Gemmatimonadia; Gemmatimonadales; Gemmatimonadaceae. The record is from RNAcentral.
GCGGGAGUGGCGGAACUGGUAGACGCACCAGACUUAGGAUCUGGCGCCGCAAGGCAUCCGAGUUCGAGUCUCGGCUCUCGCA